AACGCACGAGACCUGCGGACCUGCGGAGGGAUCAUUACUGAGUGAGGGCCCCUCGGGGUCCAACCUCCCACCCGUGUUUAACGAACCUUUGUUGCUUCGGCGGGCCCGCCUCACGGCCGCCGGGGGGCUCCUGCCCCCGGGCCCGCGCCCGCCGAAGCCCCCCCUUGAACGCUGUCUGAAGUUUGCAGUCUGAGAAACUAGCUAAAUUAGUUAAAACUUUUAGCAAUGGAUCUCUAGAUC
This 240-nucleotide unclassified non-coding RNA is filed under the name soil metagenome. Its description in RNAcentral is "partial contains 5.8S ribosomal RNA, internal transcribed spacer 2, and large subunit ribosomal RNA". The record is from RNAcentral.